This 442-nucleotide ribosomal RNA is filed under the name uncultured bacterium. RNAcentral describes it as "partial 16S ribosomal RNA". It matches the Rfam family "Bacterial small subunit ribosomal RNA", at positions 338 to 795 of the family's 1533-position model. The record is from RNAcentral.
CCUACGGGAGGCAGCAGUGGGGAAUAUUGGGCAAUGGGCGCAAGCCUGAACCAGCAACGCCGCGUGAGGGAAGAAGGCUUUAGGGUUGUAAACUUCUUUUGUCCGGGAAGCGUAGACGACGGUACCUGACGGCUCAGCCACGGCUAACUACGUGCCAGCAGCCGCGGUAAUAGGUAGGUGGCACGCGUUGUCCGGAUUUACUGGGUGUAAAGGGCGUGUAGCCGGGUUGACAAGUUAGAUGUGAAAUCCUGGGGCUUAACCGCAGAACUGCAUUUGAAACUGUUGAUCUUGAGUACUGGAGAGGCAGACGGAAUUCCCGGUGUAGCGGUGAAAUGCGUAGAUAUUAGGAGGAACACCAGUGGCGAAGGCGGUCUGCUGGACAGCAACUGACGGUGAGGCGCGAAAGCGUGGGGAGCAAACAGGAUUAGAUACCCCAGUAGUC